GAUGAACGCUGGCGGCGUGCCUAAUACAUGCAAGUCGAACGAACAGACGAGGAGCUUGCUCCUCUGUCGUUAGCGGCGGACGGGUGAGUAACACGUGGAUAACCUACCUAUAAGACUGGGAUCACUUCGGGAAACCGGCGCUUAUACCGGAUAAUAUCUUGAACCGCAUGGUUCAAUAGUGAAAGACGGUUUUGCUGUCUCUUAUAGAUGGAUCUGGGCCGCAUUAGCUAGUUGGUAAGGUAACGGCUUACCAAGGCGACGAUGCGUAGCCGACGUGAGGGGGUGAUCGGCCGCACUGGAACUGAGACACGGACCAGACGCCUACGGGAGGCAGCAGUAGGGAAUCGUCCGCAAUGGGCGAAAGCCUUACGGAGCGACGCCGCGUGAGUGAUGAAGGUCUUCGGAUCGUAAUACUCUGUUAUUGGGGAAGAACAAAUGUGGAAGUAACUAUGCACGUAUUGACGGUACCUAAUCAGAAAGCCACGGCUAACUACGUG
Molecule: ribosomal RNA, 497 nt
Filed under: uncultured bacterium
Lineage: Bacteria
Description: partial 16S ribosomal RNA
Rfam family: Bacterial small subunit ribosomal RNA
Source: RNAcentral